CUCACCGCGACCUCGGUGGCGAGCGGCCGCCUCUGAGGGUGGGAAGCGGCCCGCCUUGGGGAGCUCGGGUCCGCUCCCUCUCCGUCCCUUGGAUGCGUUUCGUCUGGUCCUCGGCCUUGCCGCGCUCGCUGCUCUGCAGGGUUGUAUUUUAGCUGAAGAGAAGUCGGAGGGGAAGCUGUCAUGUUUUCCUCCGCUUCUUCCAGGGGAACCGGUUUUGUCAAAUUGAGCGUUCUUGAUACAGGACAGUAACUGUAAAGUUAGCACCUCCUUCCUGCAUGAGGAGGCCUUUCCCACCGCAGCCCAUCUCCGUACGGGCAGGGAUGAGCGCUUGUUCUUCUGCGUGGAGGGUGUGCGUGUGCGUGUGCGUGUGCACCUGCACACGCGUUGUUCCUGGGGGCUGUAGGUACCUGAGGGGCUUUCCCACGUACGUGGAUUUGGUUGAAUCAUGAUAUCGAGUGGCAUUUUAGAAUUUGUCCAAAUUUCCUUUACCCCUUUUUUCCCUUCACCGCCCUGUAGGGAGCUAGAGAUGUUGCAAAGGUAAAGCAGAAUGGGGACCGAUCCGUUGACUUUUGUUUGGGAGAGUCUUCUCAUUUAAGCCGAAGCAAAUUUGUGGAAACGAGGAAAGAGGAUAGAAACAUUUUUUUCUCUACAAAGAUUCCAUAACAUUUAAUUUCCUGCCACAGUUUCUAACAAUAAGGUGAGAGUUUUCUUUUGAUCUUACUCUCUACAUUUUGAGUGAGGAAUAAAUUUGUCAUGUUAUUUUAGCUGCGUGAGAAGGAAGCGCAGUUUAGUAACCAUCAUUCGAGGAAAAUAUUGAGUUUCUCUUAAGUGCUUUACAGUCCUGAACAAAAUACACAGGACUCCUAACCUUUUGGAGUUUGAGAUGCUGUCAGCAUUCUAGAAGGGUGAUGAAAGAGAUAUUACAAUGAUAAAGGUAAAUGGGAUCUGAAAGAGGAAUGUAAUUUUAAGAUAUACAGAAAGGUGUAGUGGAGAUUACAAAGCCUUCAUUUUAAUUGUAUUAUUAAUAAUAUGUGUCUUAAUAUAUAAUAAUUAUAUAUUUAUUAUUACUAAUAGAAUGUGGUCCUUUAUCAUGGUUUUUGUGUACAAAGGUACUUAGAGAAGUUCACAACCCUAAAGAUACCCAUCAGUUGAAGAAACAAAAGCUUUAAAACCUCAUAUAUUUCUGUGAGUUAACAAUUCUGCUAAUGUCAUUUUGAUCUCUGUGGUUGUGAUGUGAGUGUGUAUGAUUUUUAAAUUUUAUAAGCAUAGUGAAUGGGAGAUCGGGAUAACUUUUACCUGAUAUAAAUUACCUUUAAGAAAAUAUGAAUGAUUUUAAUGAUACCAAUUUUGUUAGACGUUCAGAGCUUGUAACGUGAUUGUGUAAGUGCAAACACUUCAUGUUGAAGUUAGUCUGUAAUAAGGAAAAUGCAGCGUGACAGUUAAAGGGUCUUUGGCUCUUGAUGACUUAGGUUCAGGUCUUGGUUCUGCCGUUUACCGUUUGUGUAACCUUGAACAAGUUAUUUAGUUCGUCUCAUUCUCAGUUUCUUCAUCUUUAAUAUGGGAUGAAAAUACUUAGUUACACAAUUGUUAGAAAGAUUAAAGGUGCUUAGUAAAGGGGAACUAUAUUAACUAUACCCUGGCUAUAAUGAAAAAUGGAUUCAUUGAAAUGCUAUUGAACUUUCCGUUAUGGCUUUACACUGCAAAGAAGUUGAUUGUUGCUGGGGGUUUUGUUUUAAAUUACCAUGAAAGAUUUAACGACAUUUGAAAUAGAAAAAUGAUGAGUUAAAUUUUAUUAGAGUGAGAGUAUUUUGACUGACACCACAGAUUCUUUCAGGCAGGGUACGAGAAAUUCAUUUCUUUUUUAAAGAAAUGGAAUCUAGUUCAUCAGACUACUAUAAUAAAGACAAUGAAGAAGAAAGUUUGCGUGCAAAUGUUGCUUCCUUAAGACAUGAACUGAAGAUAACAGAAUGGAGCUUACAGAGUUUAGGAGAAGAGUUAUCCAGUGUUAGUCCAAGUGAAAAUUCGGAUUAUGCCUCUAAUCUCUCAAGGUGUGAAAGGCUUAUUCUGGAAGAUCUUUCUCAGCCUAGCCAGCUUGGACUUUUGAAUUACUCACCUUAUAAAAAAAUUUGUAAGAUGCCCAAUGGGGGUACUGAUUUUCAAAAAAAGCCAAGAGAUAAGAUGUCUUUUUCAUCUUCUGCCUCUGUGGAUCAGGAGAUCAAAAGUCUUCGAGAGAAACUUAAUAAACUUAGGCAACAGAAUGCUUGUUUGGUCUCACAGAAUCAUUCUUUAAUGACUAAAAUAGAAUCUGUUCACUUUGAAUUAACUCAGUCAAGAGCAAAAGUUUCUAUGCUUGAAUCUGCUGAACAACAGGCAGCCAAUGUGCCAAUCUUAGAAGAACAGAUUAUAAAUUUGGAAGCAGAAGUUUCAGCCCAAGAUAAAGUUUUGAGAGAGGCAGAAGAUAAAUUGGAGCAGAGUCAGAAAAUGGUGAUUGAAAAGGAACAGAGUUUGCAGAAAUCCCAACAGGAAUGUAUAAAGUUGAAGGUAGACUUACUUGAACAAAGUAAACAAGGAAAGAGAGCUGAACGACAAAGGAAUGAAGCUCUAUAUAAUGCUGAAGAGCUGAGUAAAGCUUUCCAACAUUAUAAAGAAAAAGUGGCUGAGAAACUAGAAAAGGUUCAAGCUGAAGAAGAAAUAUUAGAGAAAAAUCUAAUUAACUGUGAAAAAGAAAAUAAAAGGCUACAGGAAAAGUGUGGUCUAUAUAAAAGUGAACUUGAAAUUCUGAAAGAGAAAUUAAGGCAGUUGAAAGAAGAAAGUAAUAAUGGAAAAGAAAAAUUAAGGAUCAUGGCAGUGAAAAAUUCCGAAGUCAUGGCGCAACUAACUGAAUCUAGACAAAAUAUUCUGAAGCUAGAGAGUGAGUUAGAGGACAAGGAUGAAGUACUUAGAGAAAAAUUUUCUCUAAUGAAUGAAAAUCGAGAAUUAAAGGUUCGUAUUGCAACACAGAAUGAGCGACUGGAUUUGUGUCAGCAAGAGAUAGAAAGUUCAAGGGUGGAACUGAGAAGUUUGGAAAAAAUUAUGUCCCAGAUGCCAUUAAAAAGAGAAAUGUUUGGUUUUAAAUCAUCUCUUUCUAAGCAUCAGAUGAGUAUUUUGUCAGACAAGGAAGACAGUUACAUUGGCUGCUGUGAGACGAAUAAAAUGGUGAUUUCAGAAUUGAGGAUUAAGCUUGCAAUAAAAGAGGCAGAAAUUCAAAAGCUUCAUGCAAACCUGACUGCAAAUCAGUUAUCUCACAGUCUUUUUGCUUAUAAUGACAACCAAGAAAGUGGCAAAUUAAAUAGUUUAGAAACAGAACCUGUAAAACUAGGCGGUAAUCAAGUAGAAAGUAUAAAAGAUAAAAAUCAACAUACUGUGAACAAGCAAUAUGAAAGAGAAAGGCAAAGACUUGCUUCUGGAAUAGAAGAAUUACGUGAUAAGUUGAUGCAAAUAGAAGCUGAAAAUUCUGAUUUGAAGGUUAACAUGGCCCACAGAACUAGUCAGUUUCAGCUGAUUCAAGAGGAGCUGCUAGAGAAGGCUUCAAACUCUAGCAAACUUGAAAGUGAAAUGACAAAGAAAUGUUCUCAGCUUUUAACUCUAGAGAAACAGCUGGAAGAAAAAAUUGUUGCUUAUUCCUCUAUUGCUGCAAAAAAUGCAGAACUAGAACAGGAACUUAUGGAAAAAAAUGAAAAGAUUAGAAGUCUAGAAACCAAUAUCAAUACAGAACAUGAGAAAAUUUGUUUAGCUUUUGAAAAGGCAAAGAAAAUUCAUCUUGACCAGCAUAAAGAGAUGGAAAAGCAGAUUGAAAAACUUGAAUCUCAACUAGAGAAUAAAGAACAACAAUUUAAAGAACAAGAAAAGACUAUAUCCAUGUUGCAGCAAGAUAUAAUAUGUAAACAACAUCAUCUUGAAUCAUUAGACAGACUCCUGACAGAAAGCAAAGGGGAAAUGGAAAAGGAAAAUAUGAAGAAAGAUGAAGCUUUGAAAGCAUUACAGAACCAAGUAUCUGAAGAAACAAUCAAGGUCAGACAACUAGACUCAGCAUUGGAAAUUUGUAAGGAAGAACUUGCUUUGCAUUUAAACCAGUUGGAAGGAAAUAAGGAAAAGUUUGAAAAACAACUUAAGAAGAAAUCUGAAGAGGUAUAUUGUUUACAGAAGGAGCUGAAGAUUAAAAAUCACAGUCUUCAAGAGACUACUGAGCAAAAUGUUAUUCUGCAGCAUACUCUUCACCAGCAGCAGCAGAUGUUACAACAAGAGACAAUUAGAAAUGGAGAGCUCGAAGACACUCAGACUAAACUUGAAAAACAGGUAUCGAAACUGGAACAAGAGCUUCAAAAACAAAGGGAAAAUUCAGCUGAAAAGUUGAGAAAAAUGGAGGAGAAAUGUGAAGCAGCCACAUAUGAAGCAGAUUUGAAAAGGCAAAAAGUUAUUGAGCUUACUGGUACUGCCAGGCAAGUAAAACUUGAGAUGGAUCAGUACAAAGAAGAGCUGUGUAAAAUGGAAAAGGAAAUAAUGCACCUAAAACGGGAUGGAGAAAAUAAAGCAAUGCAUCUCUCUCAGUUAGACAUGAUAUUAGAGCAGACAAAGACCGAACUAGAUAAGAAAACAAAUGCUGUGAAAGAGUUAGAAAAGUUACAGCACUGCACUGAAACUGAACUAGCAGAAGCCUUGCAGAAACGGGAGGCACUAGAGGCUGAACUACAAAAUGCUCAUGGAGAGUUAAAAAGUACUUUAAGACAACUCCAGGAACUGAGAGAUGUGCUACAGAAGGCUCAGUUAUCAUUAGAGGAAAAGUAUACUGCUGUAAAGGAUCUCACAGCUGAAGUCAGGGAAUGCAGAAUGGAGAUUGAAGACAAAAAGCAAGAACUCCUUGAAAUGGAUCAGGCACUUAAAGAGAGAAAUUGGGAGCUAAAGCAAAGAGCAGCUCAGGUUACACAUUUGGAUAUGACUAUUCGUGAGCACAGGGGAGAAAUGGAACAGAAAAUAAUUAAAUUAGAAGGUACUCUGGAGAAAUCAGAAUUGGAGCUUAAAGAAAGCAACAAACAGAUAGAAAGUUUGAAUGAAAAAUUGAAAAAUGCCAAAGAACAGCUUCGAGAAAAAGAGUUUAUAACACUGCAGAAUGAACAGGAGAUAAGUCAACUGAAGAAAGAGACUGAACGGACACAACAAAAGAUGAAUGAAAUGGAAAGCGUUAUGAAAGAGCAGGAACAGUACAUUGCAACUCAGUACAAGGAGGCUGUAGAUACAGAGCAGGAAUUGAGGCUCACUCGGGAGCAGUUGCACAAUUCUCAUACAGAAUUGGUAGAGGCUCGUCGUCAGCAAGUCCAAGCACAGAGAGAAAUAGAAAGGCUCUCAAGUGAACUGGAGGAAAUAAAGCAACUCUCUAAAGAAAAAGAAGCUCAUGGAAACCAUUUAGCUGAAGAAUUGGGAGCUUCUCAAGUCCGUGAAGCUCAUUUAGAAGCAAGAAUGCAAGCAGAAAUCAAGAAAUUGUCAGCAGAAAUAGAAUCUCUCAAAGAAGCUUAUCAUCUAGAGAUGAUUUCACAUCAGGAGAACCAUGCAAAGUGGAAGAUUUCUGCUGACUCUCAAAAGACUUCUGUUCAGCAACUAAAUGAACAGUUAGAGAAGGCAAAACUAGAAUUAGAAGAAGCUCAGGACACUGUAAGCAAUUUGCAUCAACAAGUCCAAGACAGGAAUGAAGUAAUUGAAGCUACAAAUGAAGCAUUACUUAUAAAAACUAUUAUGAAUAAUGCUGCGACGAACACAGGAGUGCAGGAAUCAGAAUUAACCAGAUUACAAGCCAAAAUUUCUGGUCAUGAAAGGACAGAAGACAUCAAAUUUCUACCAGCCCCAUUUACAUCUCCCAUGGAAGUUAUGCCUGAUACUGAAGAUCCAAAAUUUGCUAAACAUUCUCACACAACUUUUUUCAAGUGUAGAAAACUACGUCGCUCUAUUAGCGCGAGUGACCUUAGUUUCAGAACUCAUGGUGAUGAAGACCUUUCUGAAGAAUUGUUGCAGGACUUAAAAAAAAUGCAAUUGGAACAACCUUCAACAUUAGAAGAAAGCCAGAAGAAUCUGACUUAUACCCAGUCAGACUCAUUUAAACCUCUCGCAUAUGACCUAGAAGAUGAUAGUUCUGAGAAUAAUGACUUCAGUACACUUAGUGGAAUGCUGAGAUACAUAAACAAAGAAGUGAGACUAUUAAAAAAGUCUUCUAUGCAAGCAGGUGCUGGUCCAACUCAGGGAGAAAAUUUAUGAUUAAAAGAAGAUGCUGAUGUGAUGAAAAAUGGGAUUUUUGAGAACAGUCCAUACUAAGAAGUUUCACUGAGACUUGGUGGAACAAGGCUCAUCUGUGAAAUGACAGCAGUGGGUGAUCACUGGGUCACUGUUCAGGAACAGCUGUACAAAGGUCUUUUCCUCAAAAGUGCAUUUUAGGAUCCACAUGCAUGGAAUCUAAGCAGCCACUAGAGGGCGCCAGCCACUUACCAAUGACUGCGUAACAGGUUCCCCCUCCUUCCCAUUUCUGAACUAUUUCUAAAUCAGAAACGUCAAGUUUUCUUGGUAAAAGCCUCAGUUGAUAUGUUUAUAUUCUCUGUCUUUUGUGAUUUGUGUUGAUACAUAAACAUGAAAGCAGAGAUAUGGCCACACUUUUCUCCCCAGCAUAAAAACAGCUUCUGUGUUCCUUGCUACAGGGCAAAAUGACUGGUUCAGAGUUACAGCUUUCUCGACUUUCCUUUGCCUGACCCUCUGCGGUGUUUUAUUUUUCCCCUCAGCUGUGAAGUUUAUCAUAUACUUUUAUUGUUCAGCAGAAUGUCUGUAAUGAUACUGAGUGACUUUAAAAGUGGUCAGGUUUCUUUCCUCCCCAUUUCUGUUUUUCUACCUUCCCUCUCCUCCUCUCGUAUAGUCCCAAGCAUGUUUUCUUCUUUCUUUUACAUUUUUCAAAUAUUUUACUUCUGAAAGCAAUGCUACAAGAAAGGGGGAGGUCAUGCUGUACAAAACUAGGGGUAUGAGAAGGCUGAUGUGGGAGUAGAGUGGAGCGGGAAGCUGCCUGCUUGGUAUAAACUUCCUUGGGCUGGGCUUCCAUGGCAGGCGCGGGUGAGUGUGGUCCCUCAUCAUCCAGACAGAAAAGAAUCUUCCCAAGUCUUUCUAGAGGAGAAGAGGAAGCAAGAUGAGUGGCCCUGAAGCAUCUGGGAAUGUAGUUCACAGUAACGCAGUGUUAGCUGAAUAAGGCAAAGUCCAUUACUGUUGUAGACAAAAGAUCAGAGUCCGUAAACUCAAGCAGAGAGAAGAGCUACCACAUUAUUGAGACCAAAAAUCCACUUAAAUUAGUUUUCAUUCUUGAAAUAGUGGCAUAAAGAAAGUUUUGUGGGAGUGCAUAACUGCACAUCGUGACUCCCUCAGAAUGCCCCGAAAGUGUCCGUUGUCUUUAUAAUCCACUACAGCUUUUCAUCCCUGAAGUAUCUGAACUAAAGACUCACCUAAAAGGUGAGUCUUCUAUUUCAGCUUAUAAACCCUCUUGGGAUUAGAAGCUCCUCGUGCUCAUAGUCAUUUAUUUAUUUUAAAAAACAUUACUGUGCACUUACUUUGUGCCAGGCACUGCUUUAUAUACGACCUGAGAAUACAAAGGUGAAAAGACAGAAUUCCCUCACCCCUGAAGAGAUUAGCAGAGUGGGAAAGGUGGCCUUGUAAAUAACGUGUAAAUAGUAAUCUUGUCCCAAAUAAACUUUUGUAAGGAUGCUUCCUCUAAUAUUCUAGAACUUACAGAACAUAUUCAAGUAGACACUAUACCACUUGUAAGCCAAAGUACUCUACAAAUGCAUCACUCUCAUUAUAAAAUGUAGUUUUUAGUGCAUAAAACAGUGCUUCCUUUCCUUUCUGAUCCUUACCGUCAGUCACUUUGGAAUAUGCCUGCAAUGUGCCAGGCACUGGGCUAGGAUACAAACAUGAAAAUGACAUCGCCUCUGACUCUCCAAGUUGCUUAUCUUACAUCUCCUCUCCCCUCAAACCUCCGGCACUUCAUCUUCCCUCAACUGGCGCUCUCACUUUGCACUUCGCGGAAGGAACAGAAGCCAUCAGGCAAUAAUCACCUCAUCUUCUCACCAUCAGGUGUGCCAACAAGCCUCACUCUGAACACGUGCACUCCCUCCUUGCACGAUGAAGAAGCACACCCUGCCUUCUCUCGCGCGCUGGGUCGCGUGUCUGUCUAGUUGAAGAUUUCAUUCCUGCCACAAUCUGCCCUCUUUCCUGCACCAUGCCUUAGUAUUGUCCUUAAGUAAACUCUGCCUGGGGUCCGCAGCCUCGCCAGCUUCUGUCCUCUGUCUCAGCACCUUUCCCGGUGAAACUCGCCAACCGUUGCUUGUUCUUGCUUCCUCCACUUUCUCACUUCCCUUCCUGUGUUCAGCCCACUCCACUCAGAUGUUCAUCGCAUUUGGUGACAUGACCCUGUCAGAUCUGCCACCAGUGACUUCAUCUUGCCGAACACAGUAUCAGUUCUCAGCCCUCUCUAAUUUGACUUCUCUGCAGGGGCAGAGAUGAUCACUUCCUCCUAUUUAAAACACGUUCUACUGUUGGCUUCCAUUACCACGACCCUCAGGUUUUCUCCUGUGUCGCCGGAGUUGCCUCUGGGUCACGUCUUCCUUUACUCCACCUAAUACUCUGACUGUUAAAGGGCCCCAGCUCUCUGUUCUAGGGCCUCUUCUCUUCUGCACUUAAACCCCAUAGGUAAUUACAUCCAGUCUCACUGCUUUAAGUACAGCCUGUGAGGUGAGGGAUUGCACAGUUGUGUGUCCAACUCUAUUCUCUCCCAGACCUCCACACUUGAGUAUCCAGCUGCCUUCUUACAUCUCCACUUACGUCUCUUAGCAUAUCUGAAAUAUGACAAGACCAAGACAGAAUUAUUGGUCUCCCUCCAGAAUUUUUCCCUAUCCCAGUCUUCUCCAUCUUGUCCCCACUCACCCAGUGCUGCUUCCCACCACCCCAUCCAGUCCGUCAGCAAGUCUGGUUAGCCCUCGCUGCCAAGUGGAAACUGGAUCGAACGUCUCACCGCCAUGACUGCUCCCACCUGGAUCCCAGCCACCCUCAUCUCUUGCCUGGAUGACUGCAGUGGCCACCUGACCUUUCUCCCAGUCUGCCUUCUUGCCCACCACCAGAGAAGCCAGAGAGACUUUAAAAGAAGAUCGCAUCACUGUCAUACUGAAAACCCUCUGAUAACUUCCUAUUGCCAUUAGAAUAAACUGAAGCUCCCUUCCAGGGCUUCCGAGACCGGCAGAGCUCCCUGGAUCCCUGCUACCACUCUCGCCUUGUUCACUGCGCUCUGGCCACGUGCCUGCCUCAGAGCCCUCACUUAAUACCAAAUGCAUUUCUGUCUCAAGCUUUCGGUCUUACUGUUCCCCAUGCCUGGAACACUCUUCCCACAGAUCUCUUCCCGUGGCUGACUCCUCGUCAGUCACCUCCCGGAGUUGUCAGUGUAAAUGCUGUCUCCUCAGGUCCCCUCACCGUUCUAUCCAAAGUGUUCUGUCCACCCACUGCCUACCCCGCAAACGUCAUUCUAUACCCAUCGCCCUGUUUUGUUUUUUCAUCACCUGAAAGUAUUCAUUGUCUCUCUCCUCACCAGAAUGGAAGGUAACAGACAGGUUUCUCAUGUUUUUUACUCUCUGCUGUAUCUCCAGUGUCUGGCAUAUAGAGAUACUUAAUAACCAAUUAUUAAAUGAGUGAAAAAUUGAAUGAAUGAAUGAAUGAGAAGACAUGAAAGCUAGUGUAUAACAACCUUCAGGGAUAUGAGCUCUGACGCAGAAAACCAGCCAAGGAAAUGAGCCAUGAAGAUAAGCAGCUGUCUAAUUGCUGGAUACUUUUUAUGUGCCUUGAAAAUGUAAGACUGCAUUUUUAUUAUUCAGAUACGGAAUGUUUAAAGAUAGUUAAACUAAACAGCUUUCAUAUAGGAAAUCAUCCCUUGCCACGUUUCAGCUCCAUGUGAUUCUUCCAAAUUAGGGCCGCAUUUCUCAUCCCCUUUUCAGGUUUAUACAACACACUCUUCACAGAAACAGUAGCAAAUGAAUAGCUAGGAUUGUCUGUAUCUUUGAGAUGCUACAGUUAAAUGAUGUUUUGGACUUUGUUAAAUGCAGGACAAUUGCUUUUAGGACGUCUGUGAAAUACUCUGUCACCUCAGAAUUAGUAAGUGUAUUUGAAGUACGUUAUCAAGGAGCAUCAUGUAUUGUGAUCUUAGGUCUUCCUUUAUUUCUCAGUCAGGCUCGUUGAGGAAUAAUUUACCUACAGUAACAUUCACCCCCUUAACAUAUACAGUUCUGUGAAUUUCGACGACAGUAUCCCGUCAUGUAAUCACGACCACAAUCAAGACACAGAACAUUUCUAUUGUCUCAAAGUUUCCUCAUGCAUCUCUGUAACCCGCCACCUUCCCCACCCCCUGACUACCACUGAUUUGUAUAGUUUUGUCCAGAAUCACAUAGCAUGUGUCCUUUUGAUUUUUUGAUAAUGCUUUUGAUGUUCGUCUGUGUUGUUACACGCAUCAGUGGCUUGUUCCUUUUCAUUGCCGAGUGGUAUUUCAUUAUGUGACUGGACUGGACUGUUCCUUUCUAGGAUAACUUCAUUUUAAAGUAUUAUAUCCUGAAAUAUGGUUUUCUGGAAGACAUUUUGGGUUUGCUAAAUAAACAUUUAUUGAG
Camelus dromedarius (Arabian camel) is the source of this 10700-nucleotide RNA transcript. It is a transcript of the gene named coiled-coil domain containing 18, with no coding region annotated. Lineage: Eukaryota; Metazoa; Chordata; Mammalia; Artiodactyla; Camelidae. The transcript is spliced from 31 exons. The record is from RefSeq and is a predicted model, not a curated record.